RNAcentral lists this ribosomal RNA (481 nucleotides) under uncultured bacterium. Its description in RNAcentral is "bacterial SSU rRNA". It matches the Rfam family "Bacterial small subunit ribosomal RNA", at positions 903 to 1397 of the family's 1533-position model. The record is from RNAcentral.
AAAGGAAUUGACGGGGGCCCGCACAAGCAGCGGAGCGUGUGGUUUAAUUCGAUGCUACACGAAGAACCUUACCAGGGUUUGACAUGCAAGUGGUAGAGAAGCGAAAGCGGAACGACCCUUCGGGGAGCUUGCACAGGUGCUGCAUGGCUGUCGUCAGCUCGUGUCGUGAGAUGUUCGAUUAAGUUCGCUAACGAGCGCAACCCUCGUUGCGUGUUACAAGUGUCACGCGAGACCGCCGGUCUUAAACCGGAGGAAGGUGAGGAUGACGUCAAGUCAGCAUGGCCUUUAUAUCCUGGGCUACACACACGCUACAAUGGCCAGUACAAUAGGUAGCCAAACCGCGAGGUGGAGCCAAUCCUAAAAACUGGCCUCAGUUCAGAUUGCAGGCUGCAACUCGCCUGCAUGAAGAUGGAGUUGCUAGUAACCGCAGGUCAGCUAUACUGCGGUGAAUACGUUCCCGGGCCUUGUACACACCGCCCGU